This is an RNA transcript of Populus nigra (black poplar), 1738 nucleotides long. It is a transcript of the gene named serine/arginine-rich splicing factor RSZ21-like, with no coding region annotated. NCBI's taxonomy places the organism in Eukaryota, Viridiplantae, Streptophyta, Magnoliopsida, Malpighiales, Salicaceae. The record is from RefSeq and is a predicted model, not a curated record. The transcript has 7 exons.
UACUUACUGAGCUUGCUAAAAGAAUCUUACGAAUUUCUCCUCUAUCUAGGCUCUUCCACGUUCUUGCUUUCAACAUAGUAAUAAUCAGAAUCCAAAACUGCCUGCAGAAUCAAGCAGAUUGGUGCUUGUUUUGCUCAAAAUAAUGUCUCGCGUUUAUGUUGGGAAUUUGGAUCCGCGCGUCUCCGAGAGGGAUCUCGAAGAUGAAUUCCGGAUGUAUGGUGUUCUUCGUAGUGUCUGGGUUGCUCGAAGGCCACCAGGAUAUGCAUUUGUUGAGUUUGAUGAUCGCAGGGAUGCUAUAGAUGCAAUUCGCGCAUUGGAUGGAAAGAAUGGCUGGCGUGUGGAGCUUUCUCAUAAUUCUAAGGGUGGUGGAGGCCGUAGUGGUGAUGGACAUGGACGUGGUGGAGGUGAGGACUCAAAAUGUUAUGAGUGUGGUGAACCUGGUCAUUUUGCACGAGAAUGUCGCCUGCGCAUUGGCUCACGAGGCUUGGGAAGUAGUCGUCGUCGAAGCCCCAGUCCUCGCCGCCGUGGAAGUCCAAGUUAUGGGUAUGGGCGCAGGAGUUAUAGCCCCCGUGAGAGAAGAUCUCCAAGACGCCGGAGCCUUUCACCUCGCCGAGGUCGCAGCUAUAGCAGGUCCCCUCCAUAUCGUCAUGGCCGCCGUGAUUCACCUUAUGCUAUUGGCGACUGAGGCUGGAAGCCAAACUGAGAACCAGCAGGAUAUUGAAGAAAAUAAUCUGUUAUACUUUAGUUCUAAUAGGACCAUUUGAGCAUAGAAGGUCAUGUUAAGUUAUGUUCGUCUCAUGACAAUGAGGUUUGUUAGAAACUUGGUUUCGGGUGGCUUCAUCGAAGUGUUUCAACUGCGAAACAGGUGCUUGGACACUGUUCUAUCUCGGCUUGCUGUCUACAACUUGCUGAAAUAUGUGUGGUUUUCGGCCAAAAUGGCAUCCUUUCGCCCCUUAACUGCAUCAUAGUGCACGGUUUUCUCCAUCUCUGCUUCUCUGCACGUUAUCUACACGUCAUUCUACAUGUUUUUCAGCCUCGAUCAUGUUGAAAUUGCAGUGUUCAGAAACUUGGUUGUCUGCGACACCUUUUAGUGCAUCCUUCUGCAACAAAGAUUGUGUUCCAUUUGCCACGUUUAAAAUUAUACCACGUUUGAAAUUUCUGCUAACUGGCAAGGGGAAGCUGUUUGUACUGUUGUCCCCAUCCUUGAUUCUCUGUGAUCUAUCAUUUCCCACUGUUGCUUCUUCGAGUAGUGUUGAAACUACAAUUUCUCUGGAAAACAUGGUCUCACACAACCUCUGCUGACAUGGUAUGCAGCAUUAAAGCAUCUGAUGUAGUUGGUUUCUGCAUUUUUCCCUUGUGGGUUCAAGUAAGUUGCUCUUUCGAUCCUAGAUUUCCAUGUAGAGGUGAAUGGCUUCAGGUUAUUGUUUGCAGUAAUUUCAAAGAUGCAUAAUAAUGUGACUUUGCACCACCCCCGGAAGUUGUUGUUCCUUUGCUGCGGUUAGAAAUGCAAACUUGAAUUCUUGUAGUUGCAGGAGUCCUCUUUGAAUCAGCAUCAGAACAUAGAAGUGUUUCAUCCUCGCCAAUGCUCUGAUUGUUGUCCACUUUGCGUAGCCAGGAGAAAUCUCUUUUUAUUUUUUUUGCAAGCAUGGUAGGAAUCCCCUAGAACCGUGCUUUUCUUUAAUUGACUGUUUGGAACCUUGGAAUUGAAUAAUUUUUAUGUUUGGAAUAUUUGUUUUUA